UUCGAGGGUGUAGCACAGGUGGUGCAUGGCUGUCGUCAGCUCGUGUUGUGAAAUGUUGGGUUAAGUCCCGCAACGAGCGCAACCCUCAUGUUUUGUUACCAGCGGGUCAUGCCGGGAACUCGAAACAAACUGCCUCUGUAAGGAGGAGGAAGGUGGGGAUGACGUCAAGUCAUCAUGCCCCUUACGCCCUGGGCUGCACACAUGCUACAAUGGCCGGUACAAAGGGGUGCGAACUCGCGAGAGUGAGCGAAUCCCAUAAAGCCAGUCUCAGUUCGGAUCGUAGUCUGCAACUCGACUGCGUGAAGUCGGAGUCGCUAGUAAUCGCAGAUCAGCAUUGCUGCGGUGAAUACGUUCCCGGGCCUUGUACACACCGCCCGUCACACCACGAAAGUCGGCAACACCCGAAGCCGGUGGCCUAACCCUUUUGGGAGGGAGCCGUCGAAGGUGGGGUUGGUGAUUGGGGUGAAGUCGUAACAAGGUAACCAAGGG
RNAcentral lists this ribosomal RNA (489 nucleotides) under uncultured bacterium. RNAcentral describes it as "bacterial SSU rRNA". It matches the Rfam family "Bacterial small subunit ribosomal RNA", at positions 1020 to 1506 of the family's 1533-position model. The record is from RNAcentral.